CUGCUCGAAAUGCUUGAGUACUGGCUAUCUGGGAUGUGGCUUUUGGGCCUUGUGCCAUGUCACGGUGCCCCUAGCAGGCGGGCACGUUCAUGGGCGUGACACAUGUGUGUCGCGCUCCUCUGAUGUGUCCGUGCUGGGUGAACCUAUCGAAGCAUCACACGGAAAUUGCCCACCACACCUCGUUGCUUGGUCACCCGCUGGGUCUAAACGUGCAGGAUGCUCAUCCAUUUUCCGGACUGUCAAUGCUGUUGACGCGUGUAUGGGCGAUAUGGAACCGCACGGAGGGCUUUUCCUUGCGCGUACGCGCUCGCGUCACGUCCGUGAUCCUGGCUCUGACUGCCAACUUGUAGACGUGGUGUGAUCCAUUCAGCCACGAAGCUGGAAUUGGCCAGACGCAUACAACCCCACCACUGCGGCCAUGUGCCGGUCGCGGUGUACCUGCGGGCAGGCUGCUUGCGUCCCAUGCUCGCAUACGCUCACCCUGGGAGUUGGUCUGAUUGUUGAUGAUCUAACGACCAUCGGUCACUUCUCCAAACACGGGCCAAGGAGUAUAGCAUGUGUGCAAGUCU
Molecule: ribosomal RNA, 569 nt
Filed under: Chiltoniidae sp. MA1
Lineage: Eukaryota; Metazoa; Arthropoda; Malacostraca; Amphipoda; Chiltoniidae
Description: partial 28S ribosomal RNA
Source: RNAcentral